Crotalus tigris (Tiger rattlesnake) is the source of this 2429-nucleotide long non-coding RNA. RefSeq lists it as uncharacterized. Lineage: Eukaryota; Metazoa; Chordata; Lepidosauria; Squamata; Viperidae. The record is from RefSeq and is a predicted model, not a curated record. The transcript has 2 exons.
CGGCUCCAAGUGUUUUGUUUUUGGUGGGAAACGGGUCCAAGUGGCUCUUUGAGUGUUUUGGGUUGCCUACCCCUGGAUUAGAUCUUGAUUUUGAGAUACAGCUCUCAGGUCUGAUGGCUCCUUCACUCUUAGUACUGGUCAACAUCAACUCUCUCCCCAUGGUGCAACUGGAGUCCUAAGUUUUCUCAUUUUGUAUUUAUAUUUUUAUUAUGCUUUUCUUUUGAUAUCGGAUUGUUGUGGAAAUUGGUGUGUGUUCACAUUUGCUGGUUCCUUCUGGAAUUGAUGUGAUUAGCAAACUGGUGAAUUUAGGGCUAAGAGUAUAUCUAAAAGUAUAGGAAAAUACAGAUACAAUCUCUGCUGAGUUCAGGAUGGAAAAGGUAGAUGUGUCAUGGUUCCGGUAGAUGAGACCAAUUAAAAGAACUUCAAGGCAAGGAAUUCUUCCUCAAAGAACAUUUUUAUUUGGUUACAAAAUAACAGCACUUACAAAGGUGAACCCAAGAGUAAAUUCGCCUCCCCUUGGUUACGAAAUUGCAAGUUGCAAAUCCCACCCCAAUUAAAUGUCAUUAAUCAUGUUCACCAAUUGUUAGAAAACACGGGCACUCCUCCCAGUUCUACAGCCCGACAAAAUGUUAGAGAAUGUUUUGGCUAACUGAGAAUUACACCCCCCCCUCCCUCCUUCUAUUCUAAAUAUGUGGCAACCAAAAACAAAGUGAAAAUGGCUUCAGUUGCAGCAUUGACAAAAUGUUUCAUGCUCUGGUGACAGAAAUCAGUUUGGAUUUGUAAGUAUGGUCUUUCUCCUCUAUUUUUUUUGAACAUCUUUUUUCUUUAACCUUUUUUUUUAAUUUGGACGUUUGGAAGAGAAUAUCUGUAGCUUGAAAUGAGAGGUCCUUGGUGCUCUCUGAGCUUGGUUGUUUUCUUGCAGAUGUUUCAUUAGCAAACCAAAUAAUACCAUCAGUGCUAGUGGGAUUUGCUCUCAUUUUAUAUCCUGGUGGCUUGAUCUGUCAGCAUUGGUAGGAGUUGUUUGGUGGUUCCUUGAUUGGGUUGGUAGCUUGAUUAGAGUAUUGUUUACAUCUUUAUUGUUGGUCUAAUGUCAAAAGAGCCAAUCAAAGAGCCAAAAAGGGAACAAAAAGACUAAAACAUCUCACUUGCAAUCAAAUACCCAGAUGAGCAAAGAUUAACACCAAGAUUAGCAUUAGACUAACAAUCUUUUCUGUUUUCUUCUCUAACUUUUGGAACAGCUGAAAUAAUAACAUUCCCUGGGAAUAUUUUUCAUUGUCCCCAAAUAAAUUGUAUGGGUGGUAGACAUUCUGAAGGCCUACAUGUCUUAGGCUUUUAUUGCCAUAAAACAGCUAAAAUUUUCGUAUUUUAAUAAGCAAUCAAAAUAUUUGCAACUGUUAUAAUAGUCAAUAUAUUUUUAACCUAAAUAAAUUAUUUAAACCUUUAUUAAGAUUUAGUCAGGUAAAGUUCUACUUUGGAUCACUUUUUACAUUUUCUUUCAGCAAUAGAUGGCAAUAAGUGAGAUUCGAAGGGGGCUGGGGGGAAUGGAUUUUGAUUUGUUUUGUAGAUCCUGUUAAUGCUUCUGAGUUCCCAGUCUAGUUUUCCUGUAGUCUGCAAAGUUUUUUUGCCCAUAAAUUUAACUUUCUAAAAAUUGGGGUGAAAUCCAGGUCCUUUAAAAUCCAUAGGCAAGGUGGGCUGCACUCUUGGGUUUUAACUCUAGCAAGAUCAUUUUGCAUAAAUUUCUGAUGAAAGGUUUGUUUUGGGUCUCUGCCUCAUGGUCUUCUAAUGCCAAACUGGCUGAGCAUGUCGCUAUUUGCAGGGCUUAACAGGCCUCAGUGAUAAAUGGGCCCCCAUCAUGCUUUGCCCCACACAUUGAAACCACUUCUGAAUCUUGGCACUUCUUUCUCCCAAAGCCAUUUUUACUUCUACAGGGUACAGAGAAGAAGGGAGGAAAACAGGCCUCACGCUUAGAGUUGCCAGCUAUCAAGAGUGACCAGGAAAGUACAGCACUUGGCUGACUUUAUGAGGAGGUUUCCAGGACAAUUUUCAUUUGGAUUGUGAACUCAACUGUUAUUGCUUCUCAUAAAAGAGGAAGUUCAUCCUCAGAGUUGCAUUCCAUCUUUUGCAACCAUACCCAUGAAUAGCUGAACCAAUCAAACAUGAUCCUGCGGAAAAUAUCUAUGGCUGAGUAUCACACCAAUUCAACUCUCACUUUGGAAAGUUGUAUUGCCUGACGGUUACAUAGCAGAGAUACACCUGUGCCUGCCCUCAUUGAUGCUUGCUAACAGUACCUAUGAAAGAAAAAAAAAAACAACCAAAACCUUUUUGCUCCUUUUCAAGAAAAUGCUGACCUAGUGGUUUCUCAGCAUAAAAUGCCUGGAGCUUCACAAUGUUAAACAAAUGAAAAUAAAGAAAUAUAAAAACAAAAUGAA